This 210-nucleotide ribosomal RNA is filed under the name Acanthamoeba castellanii. RNAcentral's name for it is "partial small subunit ribosomal RNA". It matches the Rfam family "Eukaryotic small subunit ribosomal RNA", at positions 825 to 1031 of the family's 1831-position model. The record is from RNAcentral. Lineage: Eukaryota; Discosea; Longamoebia; Acanthamoebidae.
CCUCCUAUUUUCAGUUGGUUUUGGCAGCGCGAGGACUAGGGUAAUGAUUAAUAGGGAUAGUUGGGGGCAUUAAUAUUUAAUUGUCAGAGGUGAAAUUCUUGGAUUUAUGAAAGAUUAACUUCUGCGAAAGCAUCUGCCAAGGAUGUUUUCAUUAAUCAAGAACGAAAGUUAGGGGAUCGAAGACGAUCAGAUACCGUCGUAGUCUUAACC